UGAGGAAUAUUGGUCAAUGGACGGAAGUCUGAACCAGCCAAGUAGCGUGCAGGAUGACGGCCCUAUGGGUUGUAAACUGCUUUUGUAUGGGGAUAAAGUUAGGGACGUGUCCCUAUUUGCAGGUACCAUACGAAUAAGGACCGGCUAAUUCCGUGCCAGCAGCCGCGGUAAUACGGAAGGUCCAGGCGUUAUCCGGAUUUAUUGGGUUUAAAGGGAGCGUAGGCUGGAGAUUAAGUGUGUUGUGAAAUGUAGACGCUCAACGUCUGAAUUGCAGCGCAUACUGGUUUCCUUGAGUACGCACAACGUUGGCGGAAUUCGUCGUGUAGCGGUGAAAUGCUUAGAUAUGACGAAGGACUCCGAUUGGGAAGGCAGCUGACGGGAGCGCAACUGACGCUUAAGCUCGAAGGUGCGGGUAUUAAACAGG
RNAcentral lists this ribosomal RNA (424 nucleotides) under Verrucomicrobiota bacterium. Its description in RNAcentral is "Verrucomicrobia bacterium partial 16S ribosomal RNA". It matches the Rfam family "Bacterial small subunit ribosomal RNA", at positions 355 to 776 of the family's 1533-position model. The record is from RNAcentral. Lineage: Bacteria; Pseudomonadati; Verrucomicrobiota.